RNAcentral lists this ribosomal RNA (1470 nucleotides) under metagenome. RNAcentral's name for it is "bacterial SSU rRNA". It matches the Rfam family "Bacterial small subunit ribosomal RNA". The record is from RNAcentral.
UGAGUUUGAUCAUGGCUCAGGACGAACGCCGGCGGCACGCUUAACACAUGCAAGUCGAACGAGAGAAGAGGAGCUUGCUUUUCUGAUCUAGUGGCGGACGGGUGAGUAACACGUGAGCAAUCUGCCUUUCAGAGGGGGAUACCGAUUGGAAACGAUCGUUAAUACCGCAUAACAUAAUUGAACCGCAUGAUUUGAUUAUCAAAGAUUUAUCGCUGAAAGAUGAGCUCGCGUCUGAUUAGCUAGUUGGUAAGGUAACGGCUUACCAAGGCGACGAUCAGUAGCCGGACUGAGAGGUUGAUCGGCCACAUUGGGACUGAGACACGGCCCAGACUCCUACGGGAGGCAGCAGUGGGGAAUAUUGCACAAUGGAGGAAACUCUGAUGCAGCGAUGCCGCGUGAGGGAAGAAGGUUUUAGGAUUGUAAACCUCUGUCUUCAGGGACGAAAAAAGACGGUACCUGAGGAGGAAGCUCCGGCUAACUACGUGCCAGCAGCCGCGGUAAUACGUAGGGAGCGAGCGUUGUCCGGAAUUACUGGGUGUAAAGGGAGCGUAGGCGGGAUCGCAAGUCAGAUGUGAAAACUAUGGGCUUAACCCAUAAACUGCAUUUGAAACUGUGGUUCUUGAGUGAAGUAGAGGUAAGCGGAAUUCCUAGUGUAGCGGUGAAAUGCGUAGAUAUUAGGAGGAACAUCAGUGGCGAAGGCGGCUUACUGGGCUUUAACUGACGCUGAGGCUCGAAAGCGUGGGGAGCAAACAGGAUUAGAUACCCUGGUAGUCCACGCCGUAAACGAUGAUUACUAGGUGUGGGGGGACUGACCCCUUCCGUGCCGCAGCAAACGCAAUAAGUAAUCCACCUGGGGAGUACGACCGCAAGGUUGAAACUCAAAGGAAUUGACGGGGGCCCGCACAAGCAGUGGAGUAUGUGGAUUAAUUCGAAGCAACGCGAAGAACCUUACCAGGUCUUGACAUCGUAUGCAUAGCUCAGAGAUGAGUGAAAUCUCUUCGGAGACAUAUAGACAGGUGGUGCAUGGUUGUCGUCAGCUCGUGUCGUGAGAUGUUGGGUUAAGUCCCGCAACGAGCGCAACCCUUACUGUUAGUUGCUACGCAAGAGCACUCUAGCAGGACUGCCGUUGACAAAACGGAGGAAGGUGGGGAUGACGUCAAAUCAUCAUGCCCCUUAUGACCUGGGCCUCACACGUACUACAAUGGCUGUCAACAGAGGGAAGCAAAGCCGCGAGGUGGAGCGAACCCCUAAAAGCAGUCUUAGUUCGGAUUGUAGGCUGCAACCCGCCUACAUGAAGUCGGAAUUGCUAGUAAUCGCAGAUCAGCAUGCUGCGGUGAAUACGUUCCCGGGCCUUGUACACACCGCCCGUCACGCCAUGGGAGUCGGUAACACCCGAAGCCUGUAGUCUAACCGCAAGGAGGACGCAGUCGAAGGUGGGAUUGAUGACUGGGGUGAAGUCGUAACAAGGUA